Molecule: ribosomal RNA, 118 nt
Filed under: uncultured bacterium
Lineage: Bacteria
Description: partial 16S ribosomal RNA
Rfam family: Bacterial small subunit ribosomal RNA
Source: RNAcentral
CGUUCCCGGGCCUUGUACACACCGCCCGUCACGUCACGAAAGUCAGCAACACCCGAAGCCCGUGGCCCAACCCCGCAAGGGGAGGGAGCGGUCGAAGGUGGGGCCGGCGAUUGGGACG